Molecule: unclassified non-coding RNA, 355 nt
Filed under: soil metagenome
Description: partial contains 5.8S ribosomal RNA, internal transcribed spacer 2, and large subunit ribosomal RNA
Rfam family: 5.8S ribosomal RNA (bases 1-120)
Source: RNAcentral
GAUGAAGAGCGUAGCAAAAUGCGAUAAGUAAUGUGAAUUGCAGAAUUCAGUGAAUCAUCGAAUCUUUGAACGCACAUUGCGCCCAUUAGUAUUCUAGUGGGCAUGCCUGUUCGAGCGUCAUUAAGUCCACUUAAGCCCUGCUUAGUGUUGGGAGACUGCUCCAGCGGUGCUACCCUGUAGCUACCCUGCAGCUCCUCAAAGACAGCGGCGGAGUUGUGGUAUCCUCUGAGCUUAGUAACUUGUUCUAGCUUUCGAGUACACCACUUCCCCUGCCGUAAAACCCUUAAUUUUUAAUGGUUGACCUCGGAUCAGGUAGGAAUACCCGCUGAACUUAAGCAUAUCAAUAAGCGGAGGA